AUGGUUCUGGGUUUGUUUUGUUCAUGUCUUCAUGGUUCUGGGUUUGUUGUGUUCAUGUCUUCAUGGUUCUGGGUUUGUUGUGUUCAAGUCUUCUUGGUUCUGGGUUUGUUGUGUUCAUGGUUCUGGGUUUGUUGUGGUUCAGGUCUUCUUGGUUCUGGGUUUGUUGUGUUCAGGUCUUCAUGGUUCUGGGUUUGUUGUGUUCAUGGUUCUGGGUUUGUUGUGUUCAUGUCUUCAUGGUUCUGGGUUUGUUGUGUUCAUGUCUUCUUGGUUCUGGGUUUGUUGUGUUCAUGGUUCUGGGUUUGUUGUGUUCAUGGUUCUGGGUUUGUUGUGUUCAUGUCUUCAUGGUUCUGGGUUUGUUGUGUUCAUGGUUCUGGGUUUGUUGUGUUCAUGUCUUCAUGGUUCUGGGUUUGUUGUGUUCAUGUCUUCUUGGUUCUGGGUUUGUUGUGUUCAUGGUUCUGGGUUUGUUGUGUUCAUGGUUCUGGGUUUGUUGUGUUCAUGGUUCUGGGUUUGUUGUGUUCAUGUCUUCAUGGUUCUGGGUUUGUUGUGUUCAUGGUUCUGGGUUUGUUGUGUUCAUGUCUUCAUGGUUCUGGGUUCAUUGUGUUCAUGUCUUCUUGGUUCUGUUUUGUUGUGUUCAUGGUCUGGGUUUGUUGUGUUCAUGGUUCUGGGUUUGUUGUGUUCAUGGUUCUGGGUUUGUUGUGUUCAUGUCUUCAUGGUUCUGGGUUUGUUGUGUUCAUGGUUCUGGGUUUGUUGUGUUCAUGUCUUCAUGGUUCUGGGUUUGUUGUGUUCAUGGUUCUGGGUUUGUUGUGUUUCAUGGUUCUGGGUUUGUUGUGUUCAUGGUUCUGGGUUUGUUGUGUUCAUGGUUCUGGGUUUGUUGUCUUCAUGGUUCUGGGUUUGUUGUGUUCAUGGUUCUGGGUUUGUUGUGUUCAUGUCUUCUUGGUUCUGUUCAUGUCUUCUUGGUUCUGGGUUUGUUGUGUUCAGGUCUUCUUGGUUCUGGGUUUGUUGUGUUCAUGGUUCUGGGUUUGUUGUGUUCAUGGUUCUGGGUUUGUUGUGUUCAUGGUUCUGGGUUUGUUGUGUUCAUGUCUUCAUGGUUCUGGGUUGUUGUGUUCAUGGUUCUGGGUUUGUUGUGUUCAUGUCUUCAUGGUUCUGGGUUUGUUGUGUUCAUGGUUCUGGGUUUGUUGUUCAUGUCUUCAUGGUUCUGGGUUUGUUGUGUUCAUGGUUCUGGGUUUGUUGUGUUCAUUGGUUCUGGGUUUGUUGUGUUCAUGGUUCUGGGUUUGUUGUGUUCAUGGUUCUGGGUUGUUGUUCAUGGUUGGUUUGUUGGUUCAUGUCUUCAUGGUUCUGGGUUUGUUGUGUUCAUGGUUCUGGGUUUGUUGUGUUCAUGUCUUCAUGGUUCUGGGUUUGUUGUGUUCAUGGUUCUGGGUUUGUUGUGUUCAGGUCUUCUUGGUUCUGGGUUUGUUGUGUUCAUGGUUUCUGGGUUUGUUGUGUUCAUGGUUCUGGGUUUGUUGUGUUCAUGGUUCUGGGUUUGUUGUGUUCAUGUCUUCAUGGUUCUGGGUUUGUUGUGUUCAUGGUUCUGGGUUUGUUGUGUUCAUGUCUUCAUGGUUCUGGGUUUGUUGUGUUCAUGGUUCUGGGUUUGUUUUGUUCAUGUCUUCAUGGUUCUGGGUUUGUUGUGUUCAUGUCUUCAUGGUUCUGGGUUUGUUGUGUUCAAGUCUUCUUGGUUCUGGGUUUGUUGUGUUCAUGGUUCUGGGUUUGUUGUGUUCAGGUCUUCUUGGUUCUGGGUUUGUUGUGUUCAGGUCUUCAUGGUUCUGGGUUUGUUGUGUUCAUGUCUUCAUGGUUCUGGGUUUGUUGUGUUCAUGUCUUCUUGGUUCUGGGUUUGUUGUGUUCAUGGUUCUGGGUUUGUUGUGUUCAUGGUUCUGGGUUUGUUGUGUUCAUGUCUUCAUGGUUCUGGGUUUGUUGUGUUCAUGGUUCUGGGUUUGUUGUGUUCAUGUCUUCAUGGUUCUGGGUUUGUUGUGUUCAUGUCUUCUUGGUUCUGGGUUUGUUGUGUUCAUGGUUCUGGGUUUGUUGUGUUCAUGGUUCUGGGUUUGUUGUGUUCAUGGUUCUGGGUUUGUUGUGUUCAUGUCUUCAUGGUUCUGGGUUUGUUGUGUUCAUGGUUCUGGGUUUGUUGUGUUCAUGUCUUCAUGGUUCUGGGUUUGUUGUGUUCAUGUCUUCUUGGUUCUGGGUUUGUUGUGUUCAUGGUUCUGGGUUUGUUGUGUUCAUGGUUCUGGGUUUGUUGUGUUCAUGGUUCUGGGUUUGUUGUGUUCAUGUCUUCAUGGUUCUGGGUUUGUUGUGUUCAUGGUUCUGGGUUUGUUGUGUUCAUGUCUUCAUGGUUCUGGGUUUGUUGUGUUCAUGUCUUCUUGGUUCUGGGUUUGUUGUGUUCAUGGUUCUGGGUUUGUUGUGUUCAUGGUUCUGGGUUUGUUGUGUUCAUGGUUCUGGGUUUGUUGUGUUCAUGUCUUCAUGGUUCUGGGUUUGUUGUGUUCAGGUCUUCUUGGUUCUGGGUUUGUUGUGUUCAUGGUUUUGGGUUUGUUGUGUUCAUGGUUCUGGGUUUGUUGUGUUCCGGUCUUCUUGGUUCUGGGUUUGUUGUGUUCAGGUCUUCAUGGUUCUGGGUUUGUUGUGUUCAUGUCUUCAUGGUUCUGGGUUUGUUGUGUUCAUGUCUUCUUGGUUCUGGGUUUGUUGUGUUCAUGGUUCUGGGUUUGUUGUGUUCAUGGUUCUGGGUUUGUUGUGUUCAUGUCUUCAUGGUUCUGGGUUUGUUGUGUUCAUGGUUCUGGGUUUGUUGUGUUCAUGUCUUCAUGGUUCUGGGUUUGUGUGUUCAUGUCUUCUUGGUUCUGGGUUUGUUGUGUUCAUGGUUCUGGGUUUGUUGUGUUCAUGGUUCUGGGUUUGUUGUGUUCAUGGUUCUGGGUUUGUUGUGUUCAUGUCUUCAUGGUUCUGGGUUUGUUGUGUUCAUGGUUCUGGGUUUGUUGUGUUCAUGUCUUCAUGGUUCUGGGUUCAUUGUGUUCAUGUCUUCUUGGUUCUGGGUUUGUUGUGUUCAUGGUUCUGGGUUUGUUGUGUUCAUGGUUCUGGGUUUGUUGUGUUCAUGGUUCUGGGUUUGUUGUGUUCAUGUCUUCAUGGUUCUGGGUUUGUUGUGUUCAUGGUUCUGGGUUUGUUGUGUUCAUGUCUUCAUGGUUCUGGGUUUGUUGUGUUCAUGGUUCUGGGUUAGUUGUGUUCAUGGUUCUGGGUUUGUUGUGUUCAUGGUUCUGGGUUGUUGUGUUCAUGGUUCUGGGUUUGUUGUCUUCAUGGUUCUGGGUUUGUUGUGUUCAUGGUUCUGGGUUUGUUGUGUUCAUGUCUUCUUGGUUCUGUUCAUGUCUUCUUGGUUCUGGGUUUGUUGUGUUCAGGUCUUCUUGGUUCUGGGUUUUGUUGUGUCAUGGUUUCUGGGUUUGUUGUGUUCAUGGUUCUGGGUUUGUUGUGUUUCAUGGUUUCUGGUUUGUUGUGUUCAUGUCUUCAUGGUUCUGGGUUUGUUGUGUUCAUGGUUCUGGGUUUGUUGUGUUCAUGUCUUCAUGGUUCUGGGUUUGUUGUGUUCAUGGUUCUGGGUUUGUUGUGUUCAGGUCUUCUGGUUCUGGGUUUGUUGUGUUCAUGGUUCUGGGUUUGUUGUGUCAUGGUCUGGGUUUGUGUUCUGGGUUUGUUGUGUUCAUGGUUUGGGUUUGUUGUGUCAUGUCUUCAUGGUUCUGGGUUUGUUG
Molecule: long non-coding RNA, 3743 nt
Organism: Salmo trutta (river trout)
Lineage: Eukaryota; Metazoa; Chordata; Actinopteri; Salmoniformes; Salmonidae
Source: Ensembl